GUGUCAGCCGCCGCGGUAAUACAGAGGGUGCGAGCGUUGUCCGGAAUCACUGGGCGUAAAGGGCGCGUAGGCGGCGCGGUAAGCGUGCGGUGAAAGCCCGGGGCUCAACCCCGGGUCGGCCGUGCGGACUGCCGGGCUGGAGCACUGUAGAGGCAGGUGGAAUUCCGGGUGUAGCGGUGGAAUGCGUAGAGAUCCGGAAGAACACCGGUGGCGAAGGCGGCCUGCUGGGCAGUGGCUGACGCUGAGGCGCGACAGCGUGGGGAGCAAACAGGAUUAGAAACCCGCGUAGUCC
Molecule: ribosomal RNA, 292 nt
Filed under: uncultured bacterium
Lineage: Bacteria
Description: partial 16S ribosomal RNA
Rfam family: Bacterial small subunit ribosomal RNA
Source: RNAcentral